CUAGGGUUUGGUUCAAUCAUCCGUGCUCAUUUGGGAGUGAUCUUGAGCCCCGUUUUUAAUGUUCUUUACAUUUUUUAAGUCCCGGUAACUCGAUCUAUCUAUUUCUACAAUUAUUUUGAGCUAGGGUUCAUGUUUAAAAAUUUACCCAUGAAUGAUAUGCAUGUGUUUUGAUGUCUAAUGGUAGAAAAUGAAUGUUGGGUGUUAAAUAAACGACUUUUUCUAAGUGAUUUUCGGUGAAAAUGCUUAAAAGGAUCCUUUUGUAAAAGUUAUAAAAUUUGUCAUAAAAGUGUGAUUUAGUGGAAAUUAGGGGCUUUUAUAGUUAUGAAAAUGAUUUUUAUAGGCCUA
RNAcentral lists this long non-coding RNA (345 nucleotides) under Gossypium barbadense (sea-island cotton). RNAcentral's name for it is "long non-coding RNA (GBAR_LNC007249)". The record is from RNAcentral. Lineage: Eukaryota; Viridiplantae; Streptophyta; Magnoliopsida; Malvales; Malvaceae.